UCCGUGUAGUGGCUAACAGCGUCGUCUCUCACACGACAGUCGGGGGUUCAAUUCCCCCUAUUGGAG
This 66-nucleotide transfer RNA is filed under the name Penicillium salamii. Its description in RNAcentral is "tRNA-Pseudo". Lineage: Eukaryota; Fungi; Ascomycota; Eurotiomycetes; Eurotiales; Aspergillaceae. The record is from RNAcentral.